Arabidopsis lyrata subsp. lyrata is the source of this 1039-nucleotide long non-coding RNA. RefSeq lists it as uncharacterized. The record is from RefSeq and is a predicted model, not a curated record. The transcript has 5 exons. Lineage: Eukaryota; Viridiplantae; Streptophyta; Magnoliopsida; Brassicales; Brassicaceae.
UUCUUCUUCAUCAUCGGUCUCUCCUCCUAUAACUCUCUAUUCCUCGAUUAUUCUUUUCUCCUAUCUCUUACUCUCUUCCUCUGAUUAUGAUUUUAUCAAUUUCGCUUCAGAUUCCAGAUUUAUUAUCUCUUUAUCACCCUCGCUUUCAUCCCCAGAUUUAUCUUCUCCUUCUUCGAUUUGAUAAAAUCUUCAGCCUCCAUCUUCGUUGAGAUAGCCCUAAACCAUAGAUUUGAUUUUGGUGGCUGAAACGUAGGUGAAACCCAAACCAUCUUCGUCGCUUGGUUCUUCGUAGCUGAAAGGUUUCUCGAUUCAAUUGCUUAAUCCUCCUCCCUCCGACUCGCCUCUUUCUCUUUCUCUCGGCUCCACAUGUAUGAUUUUGUUAGGAUUCACUAGAUUUAUUAGCAACUGUAGAUGGAUGUGGGUUAGAUUGAUUUAGCCAUCUCAAUUGGUUACCUUAGGGUUUUUAGAUUUCUUUAAUUUGGAAAUUGGAAGCUUGAAAAUCAAUAAGGUACUCUUAAUUAGGAGAAAUCUGUUAACUGUAAGCUUGAAAUCCAACAAGAGAUAUCUGGAGAUAGAGCUCGGGGUGAGAAACUCAUCAGUAGGAGUUUGUACAACGGGUUGAGAGAGACUUGUUGAAUACCUUGAGUGGUGGACAGUAAAAAAAUUGUAAGAUUACUUCAAGUGUAAAUGAACAAGCUACGAACGAGAAUGAAUUAUGGAUACUUAUGUCCCCAUGAUUUGAUGAUGUCUUCUUCGACCUUCAGAUUUCAGGGGAGGAUUUUGGAAGGUACUUUCUUGUUACUGCUAGCCUUUUGUGUUUGAUUUCUUGUUUUUUGCAGCUUGUAUAAGGGUAUUGCUCCACUAUGGGGACGCCAGAUUCCUUCAUAAGUAAUUCUUUAAAGGCAAAGUGGUGAAUAUGCUGAAGUUUCCCUAGCUGGGUGGAUAAUGACCAAGCAAUCUUCCUCUUCCAAGCUCUUCUUCUAUGAACUACAAUUAAUUGAUCAGAUUCUUGAUGACUAUAAUGCACAUCCUUACUAGG